This 228-nucleotide ribosomal RNA is filed under the name uncultured bacterium. RNAcentral describes it as "partial 16S ribosomal RNA". It matches the Rfam family "Bacterial small subunit ribosomal RNA", at positions 524 to 749 of the family's 1533-position model. The record is from RNAcentral.
UACGAAGGGGGCUAGCGUUGUUCGGAAUUACUGGGCGUAAAGCGUGCGCAGGCGGUUUUGUAAGUUUGUCGUGAAAUCCCCGGGCUCAACCUGGGAAUUGCGAUGGAGACUGCAAGGCUAGAAUCUGGCAGAGGGGGGUGAGAAUUCCACGUGUGAGCAGUGAAAUGCGUAGAGAUGUGGAGGAACACCGAUGGCGAAGGCAGCCCCCUGGGUCAAGAUUGACGCUCA